This 588-nucleotide unclassified non-coding RNA is filed under the name uncultured fungus. RNAcentral's name for it is "sequence contains ITS1, 5.8S rRNA gene, ITS2". The stretch from base 196 to 350 matches the Rfam family "5.8S ribosomal RNA". Lineage: Eukaryota; Fungi. The record is from RNAcentral.
ACUGCGGAGGAUCAUUACAGUGAAACGUAAGCGGGGGANGGCAGCUGCGCACGUGCGCGCCCCUNGNCCGUGACGCAUCCACUUACACCUGUGCACCUGUCGGCGAGUGCCCUUUGGGANNAGGGGCCUCGCCGCCCUUACAACCGCUCCUGAUACCGACGCAUGUUUGAAACCCCACGGGGUGAAGCAAAGUACAACUUUCAACAACGGAUCUCUUGGCUUUUGCAUCGAUGAAGAACGCCGCGAAAGUGCGAAACGUAAUGUGAAUUGCAGAAUUCAGUGAAUCAUCGAAUCUUUGAACGCAUCUUGCGCUCCUUGGUAUUCCGAGGAGCAUGCCUGUUUGAGUGUCGUGUGAAACCUCAAAGCCCUCCCUUUUGACCGAGGGAAGGCUUUGGACUUGGACGUGUGCGGCUGGUGGCCGCUCGUCUCUAAAUGCAUUAGCUUGGUCCCCUCGGAUGACGACGGUGUGAUAAUAGACGUCUCGUUGAACUGUGGCGCCGUCAGAGUCUAAUGGAGGGGACGGCCGACAGCCGUCCUUUGCGGACAAUUCAAGUGUAUGACCUCAAAUCAGGUAGGACUACCCGCCGA